ACAGUCGAACGAUGAAACUCUAGCUUGCUAGAGAUGAUUAGUGGCGGACGGGUGAGUAACAUUUAGGAAUCUGCCUAGUAGUGGGGGAUAGCUCGGGGAAACUCGAAUUAAUACCGCAUACGACCUACGGGUGAAAGGGGGCGCAAGCUCUUGCUAUUAGAUGAGCCUAAAUCAGAUUAGCUAGUUGGUGGGGUAAAGGCCCACCAAGGCGACGAUCUGUAACUGGUCUGAGAGGAUGAUCAGUCACACCGGAACUGAGACACGGUCCGGACUCCUACGGGAGGCAGCAGUGGGGAAUAUUGGACAAUGGGGGCAACCCUGAUCCAGCCAUGCCGCGUGUGUGAAGAAGGCCUUUUGGUUGUAAAGCACUUUAAGCAGGGAGGAGAGGCUAAUGGUUAAUACCCAUUAGAUUAGACGUUACCUGCAGAAUAAGCACCGGCUAACUCUGUGCCAGCAGCCGCGGUAAUACAGAGGGUGCGAGCGUUAAUCGGAAUUACUGGGCGUAAAGCGAGUGUAGGUGGCUCAUUAAGUCACAUGUGAAAUCCCCGGGCUUAACCUGGGAACUGCAUGUGAUACUGGUGGUGCUAGAAUAUGUGAGAGGGAAGUAGAAUUCCAGGUGUAGCGGUGAAAUGCGUAGAGAUCUGGAGGAAUACCGAUGGCGAAGGCAGCUUCCUGGCAUAAUAUUGACACUGAGAUUCGAAAGCGUGGGUAGCAAACAGGAUUAGAUACCCUGGUAGUCCACGCCGUAAACGAUGUCUACUAGCCGUUGGGGUCCUUGAGACUUUAGUGGCGCAGUUA
This 798-nucleotide ribosomal RNA is filed under the name Faucicola osloensis. Its description in RNAcentral is "bacterial SSU rRNA". It matches the Rfam family "Bacterial small subunit ribosomal RNA", at positions 58 to 854 of the family's 1533-position model. Lineage: Bacteria; Pseudomonadati; Pseudomonadota; Gammaproteobacteria; Moraxellales; Moraxellaceae. The record is from RNAcentral.